AAUUAGAAGAGAAUGGUCCAAUGAAUCAUGUCCACAUUGCAAACGUCUAGGAAUCCAUGUGCUUAUAAACUGACUCUUGAGGUGGAAAACAAAUGCCUGCUAGGGUUGCAGACAUGAUCACAAGUAGGAGAGAGACGGUAAUCUGCUCUUCCCUGGGUCCUAUGUCAUUCUUGCCAACUUAUUCACAGGUAGGGCCUGUAAAUGUUUUCAAAACAUUUCUUGUGAUGUCAUUGUGAAUCUUCCAGGAGGAAUCUGAUGAAGCCAUGCUGUUGUUUUGCCAUCUUUACUUUUUCCCAGCCUGAGGGAACCUGGAAAAUACAAUGUUCUUAUUAGCCUCAAGUCUUAACAAAAUUUACAAACUCUUAUCAGUCCUAAGAAGAGCUUCUACUGCUACGUUAGCAGAAAAAAAUAAACAAGUUUGGCAAUAAUCUUCCUUCAAGUCCACAUCCAGAAACUGCUGAACCAACCUCUUAAUGACACGCCACAACUGAACAGACCACACAGAACUCUGUCUGGGAAGGAUGGUUUUUAAGAGCUCUUGACCCAAAAGAAGUAAAAAAUAAAUAAAAUAAAAUAAAAUAAAAUAAAAUAAAAUAAAAUUAAAUUAAAUUAAAUUAAAAAGGCAUAAACUUUCAAGCCAAACUUUAGGCUCUUUCUUGGAUUCAUUAGCAACUCCAGGAUAAAAACAACUUGACUUGGGGUUCUAAAUGUAUCCAGAACUGUUGGUGACCUGUUUGGGAAGACUGAAAAAAACUGGCCAGGGAUGAACUGAUCAGCUUUGCCUGGAAUGUGACUGAGCCCCUUUGUACAUGGAAAUGUACUCAGAGGAAUUCCUAGCAUUUCUGAUUUCCUGGUAUUUUCCAUUAUUUUAAUCAAGGCCUGCUUGAAAAGCUUGGGUUUGCUUUUCUCCUUGUUCCAGCCACUUCUCUGUGCUCCAAUCUGGCUGUGUAUGUGGUUCAGUUUGGAAGAACAGGUUUUGCAUUUUCCGUUUAGAAAUCCAGUGAGUCCUGGAAUAUAUGUGAUUUAGAGGGAAGAGCUUCCACAUAUUAUUUCAGCCUGACAAGUGGGACUGUAGAAAUGGAGAAAGCAACAUGGAGAGAAAAUCCAGCAAAGCCUUACCUUCACACAAGACAAACAGACACUGGAAAAUCUUGAGGUUUUUGUCUCGUGAUUAAUGUAUGUCAUAAAUUCUCGUUAAAUAUUCUCUGGAAUGGUACAAAUCUGAGACACGUGAUACGUAUUCACAAACAAGCUCUUGUCUGAAUUAAGGUGCCAGAAUGCCUGCUAUAGGACGUGUAGGCAUGUACUUCAACUGCUCUUCAAAAUUUCUCACUGCUCUCCAUCAGACUACAGUGGAAGGAUUGUAUCUUCGUGUAAAGAGAAGUUUUUUGCCAUUCCCAGUCCAAACAGUGUCAUCGCUGCUAAAGUUAAGGCAUCAACCAAAAUUUUAAUUGGGAUUUUUUCACUCAAAACGUAUUUUACUCAUGCUAUCAAAUAGAUUAUGUACAACUACUUAAAUACUGUUAUCAUAAAUGGAUUUAAAACAUACAUGAAAAGCUAAUCAUGUAUCUGAAAUAAGCGUGUACAAGUUUUAUGUUAUGCAUGCUGAAUCAUCUUGCUGUGGUUGGAUGUAGUUCUCCAAAAAGACAGGCACUGUGUGCCAUUAUCACUCUACAAUAUUAAAUUUUUAUUAGGCCUUCAUUUGAUCACCAGGGUUAGAAUCUAUUGGUAUGGAAAUAAAAGCAAAGAUAUACUGGUCCAUACCAAAAGACAAUUAGUUAAAGUGGCCUUAUGUCUUGCUUUGGCCAUAAAUGGUUGGUUAGAGCAAAAACAUAAAUAUGGGCAAGAGUGGAAUGAUGCUUCUUUUAGUAGACUCUCUAGCUAUCAGGACAUAGAGACUAAAAGAGCUAUGACAGAUUAUGUCUGUAUCAUCCUGUCUAAUAGUUCUUCUGGUCUAAUUCGCAGACCAUAAAAUUGACUGAUAGUAUUUUAAUACAUUUAUUCAUCUGUAGGAACUAAUUUUUAUUGUUAACUUAUGGAUUGUUUUCUAAAGUACUUCUUGCUUAAUGUAAGUCUGUCACUUGAUCAUUUCAUCACGUCCCUUCUGGUUCUUAUGUUACUUAGAAGGAAUGAGCAAUCAUGCCUUCCUACAAAAAACUAUCACAUACUCUGUUCCUUCAGCGACAUCCAUCCUAAACUGCAGAGUUAUAGCCCAUGUAAGCCUUUCCCAAUGGAAAUAUCUGUAUAUUUCUAAUCAUUCACAGUGAUCUUUAUCUCUGACUUCAACUGCAAAGAACAAGAGUAUGUUCCUGCUCAUGGUUUGGAGUCAUUUUUCCUUUUAUGUUCUGUAUAGCAAUUAUGAACCUCAAUUUCAUGCUCAGCAUCAUAUGAAUGUACUAAACAAUAGUUUUAUACACAAAUAAAAGUUAUUAACCAUAUAUUUCAAUCAAUAUUCCAGAAAAAAAAAAAAGAAAGAAAGAAAAAAAAAAACAAUGGCAGACAGCUACAUGAAAAAGGAAGCAGCCAUUAGUACCAGCCAAGGUAAACAAAGAGAAUUUCUGUUCAUGUUCUCUUAUUGUACUUUGAAAGUGAAACUUAAAAUACAGAUUUUUUUUUUUGGAUUCAACAAAA
Anas platyrhynchos (mallard) is the source of this 2631-nucleotide long non-coding RNA. RefSeq lists it as uncharacterized. The record is from RefSeq and is a predicted model, not a curated record. Lineage: Eukaryota; Metazoa; Chordata; Aves; Anseriformes; Anatidae.